GACGAACGCUGGCGGCGUGCCUAACACAUGCAAGUCGAACGAAGUGGCGAACGGGUGAGUAAUACGUGGGUAACCUGCCCUCCUUUUUGGGAUAAGCCUUGGAAACGGGGUCUAAUACCGAAUAGAAGGGGAUGGGCUCGGGGCCUAUCGGCUUGUUGGUGGGGUGGUGGCCUGCCAAGGCGGUGACGGGUAGCCGGCCUGAGGGGGUGACCGGCCACAUUGGGGAUGAGAUACGGCCCAGACUCGUCAGGGAGGAAGCAGUGUGGGAUAUUGGACAAUGGGCGAAAGCCUGAUGCGGCGACGCCGCGUGGGGGAUGAGGGCUGUCGGGUUGGAAACCUCUUUCGCUAUAGAACGGGUAGGUGGAGAAGAAGCGCCGGCUAACUACGUGCCAGCAGCCGCGGUAAUAC
This 408-nucleotide ribosomal RNA is filed under the name uncultured bacterium. RNAcentral's name for it is "partial 16S ribosomal RNA". It matches the Rfam family "Bacterial small subunit ribosomal RNA", at positions 28 to 526 of the family's 1533-position model. The record is from RNAcentral.